RNAcentral lists this ribosomal RNA (1425 nucleotides) under Lactiplantibacillus plantarum. Its description in RNAcentral is "bacterial SSU rRNA". It matches the Rfam family "Bacterial small subunit ribosomal RNA". The record is from RNAcentral. Lineage: Bacteria; Bacillati; Bacillota; Bacilli; Lactobacillales; Lactobacillaceae.
AAGUCGAACGAACUCUGGUAUUGAUUGGUGCUUGCAUCAUGAUUUACAUUUGAGUGAGUGGCGAACUGGUGAGUAACACGUGGGAAACCUGCCCAGAAGCGGGGGAUAACACCUGGAAACAGAUGCUAAUACCGCAUAACAACUUGGACCGCAUGGUCCGAGUUUGAAAGAUGGCUUCGGCUAUCACUUUUGGAUGGUCCCGCGGCGUAUUAGCUAGAUGGUGGGGUAACGGCUCACCAUGGCAAUGAUACGUAGCCGACCUGAGAGGGUAAUCGGCCACAUUGGGACUGAGACACGGCCCAAACUCCUACGGGAGGCAGCAGUAGGGAAUCUUCCACAAUGGACGAAAGUCUGAUGGAGCAACGCCGCGUGAGUGAAGAAGGGUUUCGGCUCGUAAAACUCUGUUGUUAAAGAAGAACAUAUCUGAGAGUAACUGUUCAGGUAUUGACGGUAUUUAACCAGAAAGCCACGGCUAACUACGUGCCAGCAGCCGCGGUAAUACGUAGGUGGCAAGCGUUGUCCGGAUUUAUUGGGCGUAAAGCGAGCGCAGGCGGUUUUUUAAGUCUGAUGUGAAAGCCUUCGGCUCAACCGAAGAAGUGCAUCGGAAACUGGGAAACUUGAGUGCAGAAGAGGACAGUGGAACUCCAUGUGUAGCGGUGAAAUGCGUAGAUAUAUGGAAGAACACCAGUGGCGAAGGCGGCUGUCUGGUCUGUAACUGACGCUGAGGCUCGAAAGUAUGGGUAGCAAACAGGAUUAGAUACCCUGGUAGUCCAUACCGUAAACGAUGAAUGCUAAGUGUUGGAGGGUUUCCGCCCUUCAGUGCUGCAGCUAACGCAUUAAGCAUUCCGCCUGGGGAGUACGGCCGCAAGGCUGAAACUCAAAGGAAUUGACGGGGGCCCGCACAAGCGGUGGAGCAUGUGGUUUAAUUCGAAGCUACGCGAAGAACCUUACCAGGUCUUGACAUACUAUGCAAAUCUAAGAGAUUAGACGUUCCCUUCGGGGACAUGGAUACAGGUGGUGCAUGGUUGUCGUCAGCUCGUGUCGUGAGAUGUUGGGUUAAGUCCCGCAACGAGCGCAACCCUUAUUAUCAGUUGCCAGCAUUAAGUUGGGCACUCUGGUGAGACUGCCGGUGACAAACCGGAGGAAGGUGGGGAUGACGUCAAAUCAUCAUGCCCCUUAUGACCUGGGCUACACACGUGCUACAAUGGAUGGUACAACGAGUUGCGAACUCGCGAGAGUAAGCUAAUCUCUUAAAGCCAUUCUCAGUUCGGAUUGUAGGCUGCAACUCGCCUACAUGAAGUCGGAAUCGCUAGUAAUCGCGGAUCAGCAUGCCGCGGUGAAUACGUUCCCGGGCCUUGUACACACCGCCCGUCACACCAUGAGAGUUUGUAACACCCAAAGUCGGUGGGGUAACCUUUUAGGAAC